CUGACAGUUGUAUUCUGUACUUUAGAAAAGUGACUUUGGGAAUAAUUUUUCAUUUCUAGGGGCAUUUUCAUUUGCUUCAGUGUUUAUUUAUAGUAUCAGUAACUCUAUUAUUUAUCAUUAAGAAAGUUUGUCUGCAUGUCACUGAAGACUAACUGCUGUGCCUUGACGGAAAAUAUUGAAGAACCCGCUUCUCGAAUUUCUGUUCCCCAUGUAGGUACUUAAGGAUUGCUCAAGUCACCCCUUAAUUUUCUCAUUCAGAAACUGAACACAUUAAGCUCCUGGAGUAUACCACUAUAAAAAGAGCAGAGGAUGCCUGCAGGAUUACUGUUGAUCACCUCAGGCUUGGCAGACCAGCAGGAAACUUCACCCAGUUUUCUACCCAGCAGGAAGACUACAUUUCAUACUGUGGCAACUACCAUGUUUAACUCUGAGCUAAUUGUUCUGUGUGAAAAUAGCUACUAGUACUAGAAGUGAAGUAAUAAAGGCUGUUCAACACUCCCUAUA
This is a long non-coding RNA of Mauremys reevesii (Reeves's turtle), 504 nucleotides long. RefSeq lists it as uncharacterized. The record is from RefSeq and is a predicted model, not a curated record. The transcript is spliced from 4 exons. NCBI's taxonomy places the organism in Eukaryota, Metazoa, Chordata, Testudines, Geoemydidae.